UUUAUGGCGCUCUUAUCUCACGUAGCCUAUAAAGUUCAACCGAGGCGUGAUUAUUGCUAAUUGAAAACUUUUACCAAUACCCCGUCAUGAUGACUUGAAAUAUAGUCAGCAUUGACAUUUUUUGACAGCCUCUCAGAAGG
Bombina bombina (fire-bellied toad) is the source of this 140-nucleotide small nuclear RNA. RefSeq annotates it as U4 spliceosomal RNA. The record is from RefSeq and is a predicted model, not a curated record. NCBI's taxonomy places the organism in Eukaryota, Metazoa, Chordata, Amphibia, Anura, Bombinatoridae. The transcript has a single exon.